Ailuropoda melanoleuca (giant panda) is the source of this 2548-nucleotide long non-coding RNA. Lineage: Eukaryota; Metazoa; Chordata; Mammalia; Carnivora; Ursidae. The record is from Ensembl.
AAAAAAUCCACAGAGAAACAAAGUCAAUUAAAUUUUAUUACAACCAAGAAUAUAAAAUAAAUGCAAUGUAAUUUAUUUUAGUUUUAACAGUCAUUUCAAGAAGGAUGGCAGGACAACUCAAAAGCAGGGAAACACUCGGGCUCCCAAGUGGCUGCUCUCCUGCCCCCCACGGAGCAUGCCUCGCUGGGGGGCAGCCGGCUCUGAGCGCACACUUCGUAGCAGAGUGUGGGAAGCGUACACAGUCAUUUCAAGAAGGAUGGCAGGACAACUCAAAAGCAGGGAAACACUCGGGCUCCCAAGUGGCUGCUCUCCUGCCCCCCACGGAGCAUGCCUCGCUGGGGGGCAGCCGGCUCUGAGCGCACACUUCGUAGCAGAGUGUGGGAAGCGUACACAGUCAUCUCUAUAAUCAUAGAAAGAGGGGUGCGUGCAGAAGAUGGCUGAGAGCAGAGACAAAGACAGGUACACUUCACAAAUAGGAAUUAUGGGAAUUACAAACUAGGCAGUUUAGAAAGGAUAUACUACAUAACAUAUAUAAAAAGUACUUUAAAUUGUUGUUAAAAAGGACAUCUUCAGUCCAGAUUUUGUGUAAUACUUUUAGUGUCUACACAGACAAAUCUUUAAAAAAAUUAAAUAGUAUUAAUUUACUAAAUAUUUAGGAGAUAACAGUGCAUUAAGGAUUUUUUCAUAUAAUACACACAUAUCACUCCUUUGCAGUGAUAGCACAGAAGAGUAAGUAUGGCCUUAGGUACAACACAGUUUUUUUAAAAUCCUAAAACAAUGAACUUUGCUUUAUGAGAUCUGUGACUACUCUUGAAGAUGAUGGGGGCCUAAACUGCUGUUUGAAAUAAAAGAUUACUUAUACUUGAAAUCCUUCGAGCCUCCUUUAGGCUAACUGCUAUGUUACUGCCUUUCUCCAUUCCCUAGAAAGAUAUCACCAGAGAGUUUAGGAUUUGCAAUUUUCAUAGAAUUCUUCCUUCAUUGUAUGGUUUCUGCCACAUCAUUUUGUUCAAAGCAGAUUAAGCUGCAAAUCUUAUUGUCCAACGAUUUUUCCUUUUCCCUUGAGCAGAGAAAACAGCAUCGUUUCAGAGGCAUACACCCAGCAGUUGCUUCACCAGGAGUGAGGCAGUGAACACGUAGGUAAAUGUCGUCCCUUUCCAUUCUUCAAUGUAAAUUAGGUUUAUAAGAGCAAAAGAGUAGUGCAGAAGGCCAAAGUUCUAAGUACCAAAGUUUUAAAACCACACAGAUAUAAAAAUAUACAUGCCCUUGGUUCUCGUACGUUACUGCACGAUUUACUUUCAUCACAAGGAUUGCUCAGCCUCAUAGUAACAGCCCUGCCACCAGGCUACCUUACCCUUGAGCUCAGCUCUCCUGAAACUCUAGAAUCCCUUUUCCCAAACACACCUCACCAGAAAGCGAAUUUCAAAAACUGAUUUGUAAUAUGGAGGGCAGAGGAACUUCACUUUUAUUCCUUCCUUCCUUUCAAAUAACCUCCCUUGUUUUGGGUGUUUUCAUGGGCUGAGCCCCCCCCCCCCCCCCCCGCAACCUGCAUUCUCAGGGAGCAAGACAGUUAAUACGUUUUCAGAGAGGAAUGAGGUCAUUUGGGGACCACAAAGGUAAAUUCUAACCUCAAAAAGCUUCACAGAUCUCCCUCAGGGUCCCACAGUUUAGGGUCCAUAAGAAUGUUAAAGGCUUUGUUCCCCUUCACAGAGAAAAGGAAAUCAUGAGCCAAAAUUAUUUCAAGGGUGCUGGGCCCAAAUGGGCAUCCCCAGCUUCGAUGCAAGAAUGAGAAGAGGGCCGGCCGGUACCAGCACAGUGACCAGAAUAACGGGACAUCUGGCUGUAUCCUAGAGAACACCCUGGACUAGGAAAAAUGGAUGAAAUCUCCUCACAGUUUCGGUAUCAGUUCUGCCAAUAAAAUUAGCUAUCUGCAAGGAAAGCAGGGUAGUUCUGUGAUUAUGUAAGCACACAUCACAAGAAUAGUACACCGAAGUUGCUCACAGAGUAUUCAGGGGCAUGGUAUUUUGGUCUAUGCACGUAGGUGGGCUCUCUCCUCUUAUUAAAUGUAAGUGCACCCAAAGGGCAGUGACAGAGCCUCCGUUUUCAUUGUAAUUUCCCACAACCACUUAAUUCUGCUUAUAAGGGCCACCCAACUGUUGUCGAGAAGCUGCUGUGAACAUUUCAAAUCUGCAUUAAUGCCUGUUCUGAUAUUUAAUUGCUGGCUUUCUCUAAGGUUGAUAGAAACCUCUCGAUAACACACAGAAUUCGGAAUAAUAACUCUAUCCAAGUGAGUCUGGAAGUAAACAAAAGGACCUUCAUACUCUUAUAAGCCACUCCUCUCAUCCCAGGAGAACUCACUGUCAUGGAAUGGAUCCUAAGCUCCUUAAGGGCAGGAAGUAUGUCUUGCCCUUUGAGUCUUCCAGCCAGCAUGGCACUGGGCAUGUGGUGAGGGUACAGUCAGCAUCUGAUGACCAAUAACUCUGGACAGUGAGGCUUCAGGGCACAGGAUAGAACUUUACACAGGUAGCUACGUUAUGCAAAGGGCAUUCAU